GACGAACGCUGGCGGCGUGCUUAACACAUGCAAGUCGAACGGAAAGGCCCUGCUUGCAGGGUACUCGAGUGGCGAACGGGUGAGUAACACGUGGGUGAUCUGCCCUGCACUUCGGGAUAAGCUUGGGAAACUGGGUCUAAUACCGGAUAGGAACCAUCUUUAGUGUGGUGGUUGGAAAGUUUUUUCGGUGUAGGAUGAGCUCGCGGCCUAUCAGCUUGUUGGUGGGGUAAUGGCCUACCAAGGCGGCGACGGGUAGCCGGCCUGAGAGGGUGUACGGCCACAUUGGGACUGAGAUACGGCCCAGACUCCUACGGGAGGCAGCAGUGGGGAAUAUUGCACAAUGGGCGCAAGCCUGAUGCAGCGACGCCGUGUGGGGGAUGAAGGCCUUCGGGUUGUAAACUCCUUUCGCUAGGGACGAAGCUUUUUGUGACGGUACCUAGAUAAGAAGCACCGGCUAACUACGUG
RNAcentral lists this ribosomal RNA (465 nucleotides) under uncultured bacterium. RNAcentral describes it as "partial 16S ribosomal RNA". It matches the Rfam family "Bacterial small subunit ribosomal RNA", at positions 28 to 507 of the family's 1533-position model. The record is from RNAcentral.